RNAcentral lists this ribosomal RNA (517 nucleotides) under Blastocystis hominis. Its description in RNAcentral is "SSU rRNA". It matches the Rfam family "Eukaryotic small subunit ribosomal RNA", at positions 477 to 1008 of the family's 1831-position model. The record is from RNAcentral. Lineage: Eukaryota; Bigyra; Opalinata; Blastocystidae.
ACAAUGCGGAACAAUGUUUUGCAAUUGGAUUGAGAACAACGUACAAACCUUAUCGAUAAACAAUUGGAGGGCAAGUCUGGUGCCAGCAGCCGCGGUAAUUCCAGCUCCAAUAGCGUAUAUUAACGUUGUUGCAGUUAAAAAGCUCGUAGUUGAAAUGAAGGGUAGUUGUGUAAUGAAUACAUUCGUGUAUUUUGUUAUUCUACUACCCUCCUUCUAAAUUCGAUAUAUGAGUAUUAAUUUACUUGUAUAUGGUUUUAGACCUUUACUGUGAGAAAAUUAGAGUGUUCAAAGCAGGCAUUUGCUUGAAUAUAUUAGCAUGGAAUAAUCAUGUAUGAUUUUCAUGAUGUAUUUGAUUGGUUUGGUUCAUGAGAAUAAGAUUAAAAGGGACAGUUGGGGGUAUUCAUAUUCAAUAGUCAGAGGUGAAAUUCUCGGAUUUAUGGAAGAUGAACAAGUGCGAAAGCAUUUACCAAGGAUGUUUUCAUUAAUCAAGAACGAAAGUUAGGGGAUCGAAGAGGAU